UCUAACAGCUAUGUCUGAUAUAGAUACGAAACUUCAGUAUGUCUUGGGGUGCUUUUGGAACGAUUUUGAAGGUGGUGUUUAAUUUGGAGGCCAAGUUUGGUGGUUAUAGUUCAUUUUUAACUGGUUAUCAACAGUCUCCAGAUAUGUCUCCCCCAAGGACUCUACACAAAGGCCAACAGUACAAUGCAUUUAGAUCAAACAAUUUGCAAGCGGAGCCAAAGAAUUUGCAAGUGAAGGCGAAGGCAUUAAAAGAGCUCGUUGAAUGCAGAUCAUACAUAUUCCUCUAUCAAUUGAUUUUUGGUCAUAUCUCCUCUAUGUAGUUCUUGGGGAUCUGUCAAGUCUCCUCAAACUCAAAAUUUGGCAAGUUCACGUGUGCACAAGGAUGGUCAUGAGUACUUUAGGCAUCAAGAUUCUUAUGAAACUAGGAGCAAAAGGAAUAUCUUGUCAUGGAACAAGGCUGCUUCUGCAGCUAAACAUGAUGGUCAUGCAAGGGAAAAGUACGGGCAAAAGUUGAACCUGAAAGUUAAGUACCCAAGGUAUGUUCACAAGGCUUCAAAAAUCCUCAGUUCCAAUAAUUCAAGGGUUUCUGGUGAACAGUAUCAUUAUCAAUUUACCUCACAUCAAGCGUCCGUUGAUCAAACGUACAACAUUCCAUCUCCAAAUCUUGUUAA
RNAcentral lists this unclassified non-coding RNA (671 nucleotides) under Hevea brasiliensis (rubber tree). Lineage: Eukaryota; Viridiplantae; Streptophyta; Magnoliopsida; Malpighiales; Euphorbiaceae. The record is from RNAcentral.